RNAcentral lists this ribosomal RNA (484 nucleotides) under uncultured bacterium. RNAcentral describes it as "partial 16S ribosomal RNA". It matches the Rfam family "Bacterial small subunit ribosomal RNA", at positions 28 to 523 of the family's 1533-position model. The record is from RNAcentral.
GACGAACGCUGGCGGCGUGCUUAACACAUGCAAGUCGAACGAUGAACCCGGAGCUUGCUCCGGUGGAUUAGUGGCGAACGGGUGAGUAACACGUGAGUAACCUGCCCUUGACUCUGGGAUAACUGCGGGAAACUGUAGCUAAUACCGGAUACGACCCUCGGCGGCAUCGCCAGGGGGUGGAAAGAAUUUCGGUCAAGGAUGGACUCGCGGCCUAUCAGCUAGUUGGUGAGGAAACGGCUGACCAAGGCGACGACGGGUAGCCGGCCUGAGAGGGUAACCGGCCACACUGAGGCUGAGAUACGGCCCAGACUCCUACGGGAUGCAGCAGUGGGGAAUAUUGCACAAUGAGCGCAAGCCUGAUGCGGCUACGCCGCGUGAGUGAUGACGGCCUUCGGGUUGUAAACCUCUUUCAGCACAGACGAAGCGCAAGUUACGGUAUGUGCAGAAGAAGGACCGGCCAACUACGUGCCAGACGCCGCGGUAA